UUCUCAGAAAACAAUCCACUGCGGUGAUAGACUGAUAGUCGGGGUUCAUUAAUUACCUAUACUUGUUUAUCUGUUUCAGUAUCACAGAAGGCCAUAUGGAAGUGAAACAUUGCCUAGAGGUAUCGUCUCCCAGACCUCUAAUCUGGAAAUGCGGCCAUUAUGGACAGCAUCUAACAAGGUAAGCUUUCCAAUCAAUGUCUGUAUUUGUUUUUGUUAACUGAAAAGUGAAAAUCCUAGUUAUUGAGUCUAGAACAUUUUCUAUCCUUGAAUGUAACUAUUAUGAACAAAAUGAUGAAUUCGACUAUGAUUUUUAUGCUUGUCUCCUCCCAGCCACCUUCAAGGUUAAACCAGAGAAGUGUAAAUUCCUCGGUCAGCUUAUUAGCGAUGGCCGUUGGGAUCAAGCAGAAGGAUCUAGCCAGUAAAAUGGUCAAAAAGGUAUAAAGUAAGUCUGUAAAUGCACUUCUCAGCACUCAGAUGAAAGUUUAUGUGUGUUGUCUUUUGAACCACUACUGGUAUUUAUAAAAACAAUGGCUUCUUAUACAUCAUAUAUAAUGCAGUUUCUGUCAAGUGGUUUUGUUGUCAUGCUUUUUCAUUAUGAUGGCAACGUUGAUGAGUGGAAGCAAUUUCAAUGGAAUGAUCUUGUUAUUCAUGUUUCGGCAGUCGAUCAAACAAAAUGGUACACGUCUUAUCUUCGUGCUUUAUUCAUUUCCUUAGAAGUUGCAUAGAUGAGUUUCCUGAGUGAUAUCUUUCUUGAUGCUUAGGUGGUUUGCAAAGCGUUUCUUACAUCCUGAUAUAGUUGCUGAAUAUAGUUAUGUUUUUCUAUGGGAUGAAGAUCUUGGAGUAGACAGUUUUAAUCCUCAACGGUACUGCAGCUGCAUUUCCUUUUACCAAAGUUAGGAACUUGCUUGCAUUUGAACUGCUGCAUAACUGUAUUGCUGAAACUUUAUGUUGUUCUUCUUCUAUGACACUUUUAGGUAUGUGUCCAUUAUUCGGAAGGAAGGGCUUGAAAUAUCUCAACCGGCACUUGAUUUUUCCAAGUCAGUGGUGAAUCAUCAAAUUACUGCACGUGUGAAAGGAUCAAUAGUGCACAGGUCUGUUAUGUAACUAGCUAAUACUAAUUCAUGACUACGUACAGUCCUGUACUUCUGUUCAUUUCAAGCGGUUGGUGACUCUAGUUACAUGCUUUUGAGAAAUUGUUUCUGCAGAAGGACUUACAAGCCUAAUGCCAAUGGGACUGGUUGCGAUGAAAACAGUACAGCUCCUCCUUGUACCGGGUAGAAAAAAAAAAAAUUCAUUUGAACCAAGUUUUGUAUUUCCUGCAAAAGAAUGAUGGUUUUCUAGUAAUAGAAGUCAUCCUGCUGCUUCAGGAAAGUAUAAUGAAAUGCUGCACUGCAGGUGGAUAGAAGUGAUGGCUCCAGUUUUCUCUCGAGCUGCCUGGCGUUGCGUAUGGUAUAUGAUCCAGGUGCGUUACUUCUACCAUUCCUGGAGCUCGAGAUAGCUCUUCUAAGGGUAACAAAGAUUGGACUUCUUAUUUCCUUGGUUUAAACCAUCAUCGAUCUUAAUUGUAUAUGCAGAAUAAUUUGAUCCAUGCUUGGGGACUAGAUAUGCAGCUUGGCUAUUGUGCACAGGCAAGCUCCUUAAUAUAUCUGUCAUUCAUAAUUUCUUCUACUAUCCAAGUAUUUUGUCUUUCCUCAUCUGUUUCCUAAACAAGGACCUUUAUUUUCCAUACUAAUAGGGUGAUCGAAAGAAGAAUAUUGGUGUCGUAGAUGCGGAGUACCUAAUCCAUUAUGGCCGCCCUACUUUGGGAGGUCCAAACGAUAAUGAGGUGAAAAUUGUGUUAGCCUAGCUUUGUAUUAAGCUGUAAACUUUUAUCUGAGACUGACUUUGAUAUCUUUGUAUUGCAGAAAUCACCUCAAGCUAGUGCAAAGGACCACAGAGUUGAUGUUAGUCUCCAAACAUGAAUGAAUCUCAGGCCACUGUUUUUACAUAAUGUGAUAUGUGUUUAGUUGGACUUAAUCUAAAUUUGUGCAGGUGAGGAGGGAAUCCUACAACGAAAUGAAGAUUUUCAAUCGAAAAUGGGAAAAAGCUGCAAAGAACGAUGAGUGUUGGAUUGAUCCAUACCCUGUUAGCAGUAGCCAUCACUAAGCAGUGAGUUCAGAAAUUGGUGUAUAGUUUGUAGCAUCCGUUCAUACAUGCAUCAUACUAUUCAAAGUCCAAACAUGCAAGUCUCUGAAUGUUCUUGUUCUUGUACUGUUGUACAGGGUGGAAAUGUAAAUUCUAUAGAUUUUAUAUGAGAGAGAAUCAGAAAGAAAUCAACUUCACUUAACUUGUAUACUAAUAGUCCGAUAUAUCUUGUAACAUCGCAUUCAGAUCUCUCUGCCUAGAGACGGACCCAUAGAAGCUACUGCUGUUAAAUUCCAUUCGUUAAUGUAUUGUUUCUUGUGCUUUACUCCUGAACCAUAGAAGCUACUGCUGUCAAAUUGCAUUCGUGAAUGUACUUUUUCUUGUGCUUUACUCUUCAUCAUUUCAAAUUACUUGAAGAGAAUCAGCAUUUUGUGGUGGUAAAAACUAAAACAAAUAACGUACCCCAAUUUUGGAAUCUGUUCAGAACAGCUAUGAUCAUUUUCAUGUAAGUCCUGACAUGAAUCAUCUCUACCAAGCAAUGUUCCAUCCAAAACACAAACACUACCAAGAUUUAGACUUUCAUCUCUAACAUUGUACGGUAAUAAAGUACAUUAAUAGCAUCAAGGAUCUGAUAAACCAAAACCACGUAACAUAGCAAUUUUGGCUCUACCUUUUCCUAAUAGGAUUAGUACUAAGAUUUAGUCCUGGUGUAUCCUUGUCCGGCAGAGAUUACAAUCUCCUAAUCCUUGCAGGAGAAAAAUAGAUUUUUAAUUAGUACCUUAUAUACAUGUCCACUGAUCGAUCGCAGCAGUGGCUCAAUCAUGGAUGAGCCGUAUGAUUCCAGGAUUUUCAAUUGGUGUGAAGUGAAGCAAACAGAAUUACACGAGGGACCCUAUCCGCCACCAUCACAGCGCUACGCCGUGCUCAUCAGAUUAACAGUCAUCUUGCAAUCUGGGGGUUUUCAGAUACAGACGAAACCACCUCAUUCUUUUAUGUACAACUUUUGUCCAGACGUAACUCUCAUAGGGAAAUCAAAGAUUUGGGUCAACUUCAUGUCCGCAGAUGAACGAGGUAAGAGCAUCAUGUACUUGGUGACUGCCCUUCGUCGCAUGGGCCUUCGGUUAAAAGAACUGGCAGAUAUAGUCAAAGAAAUAUCUGACAAAGUUGAACCGCCCAUCCACCUCCCGCAGUUGGCUGUUGAUGUGACCGUAAGGCUUAUCUGUUGUGAACUGCAUGGAAGUUUUGACGGUUACGAUGAUAUGCGCUUGUAUCGCUGGGUGAAGAAAUCAUGGGACGACUCUAGGGCUGCUGCUCCUACCUCUUGCGCUAUGCCUCCAUCAUCAUGUGCUGUUUGUUUGGAGGAGUUUGGAGGUGGUGUUGAUGAUAAAAUGAUUGCUCGUUUGCCUUGCUCGCAUUUUUUUCAUGCUGAUUGCAUUGCACAGUGGGUGGUGGAUCGUCACACGUGUCCAGUGUGCCGAACCCAAAUGAUACCACUUCUGUGUGAUGAUGAAAAUCAACCCUUCGAUCCAAACCCUACCUGGUCCGAGUGACUCGAUAAAUUAUUCGUGUCUUUGUAGUCAAUAAUAUACCAGUCUUUUGUGUUGUUGUUGGCAUAUUGUAAUAUGCUCAAUAUUGCCUUUACUCUUGUAACAUUACUAGGCUAGUGUACUUUUUAUUUAUCUUUUCAUUUGGAAAUACCGUUCAACAUUUUCAUCUCGGUGUAUUACUUUUGAUUUUGUAUUAAUUAAAGAUAUACACACACAUGACCCUUCUAGUGAGGGGUCCCUAUUUUGGACUAUUUGUAAGGAGAGGUCUUUUAGAGAAGUUGGUGUAAUUUCUUAUCCCUAGAAAUAGUCUAAAAUAGGGAUUUCUCACUAAAAGGGGAUGUAUAUUUAGAUGGUAUGGUAUGAACCAUUUUUUAUUUUUGAAAACAAGGUUUAAAACUUUAAAUGUUAACCACCAGGGAUUGUGGGACAGUAGAAUGGUUAGUUUGGAACUCCCCAGAGUUCGAAACUCUAUGAGGCCUUGGUGGCCAGCUGGUGGUGAGGCUAUGUACCUAUUCAUGUUCCUGCCCUAUAUAUGGCAGUGCAGUGAAAUAGUCUGACAAUUGCUAGGAUACCUUGCAUGGGUGUGUGUUACCAAUUUAACUAAGACUAACCUCUCUAAUCCAAAAAUAAUAAUAUAAUUUCAAUGUUUUUUUAGAGUAUCAACGACGGUAUACUUAAAGGUUUUUCAGACCCAGAGACUAAUUCACGCCGAUAGAUCAUGUCAGAACGCUUCCUCUCCUUGGUCACCAAAAAUAAAUUGGGAUUUAACUUUAAUUAACGUCAGCUAGGAUUCGAACAUGGGUAUGGGGGUUCCACACAUAUGCUCUUACCAACUCGAUCACUUGUGGUGGUUAAAAUAAAAUAAAAAAAUUAAAUGUUGGACAUAAACCUUAGGCCAUCUCCAACCAAAAGUGCUAAAAAUAGCACAUGUGCUCAAUUUUAGCACAUAUAUUUGGCACUUUAAUCAAAUACCACUCAACGUCUUCACCCGAUUAGUGCUAAAUUGUAGCAUUUUAAUAUAUUUAUUGUUUUUCAUAUAUUAUUGACAUUUUUUCUUAUUUAAUUAUAAAGAAACAUUCGUCAGGAUAAUAUAUACUUGUGCGUAUGGACUCUCUUAUUUACAAACUUUUACUAAUGCAAAUUAUAAUCUUAAUCGUUCAAAAGUUGAUUAACUAUUAAAGAUCACCUUCUGAACAAAAAAAAAAAAAAAUACAAUGUUAACAAAAUUUGUUUGCUUAGCUGAUUGCAUUAAACAAAUGGACGAUUAAUCAUAAGACUAAGACUGUUAUUAUAAUCUUGCCAAGUCAAAAAGAGGAAUGAAUCUUAGCGUGAGAUUCCUCACGUGAGUAAUUUUUUUUUUAAGCAAAAAGUGUUGCACUUCUCACCCAACAAAUGGAAGGCUGCCACAUUACAUGUGCUAAAGAGUCAUUCGGUGAGUAUUUGGCUAUCGAGAUAACACUUUAGCUAUUGUUUAGCUCUUUGGCACUUUAGCUUAUUGGUUGAGAUGAGAGUACUCACUACUUUGGGUUAUGAUGGCAUUAUAUGCAGAGUGAUAUUUGGAAUGUUGGUGUCCCUUCCGGUGUUGAUCGGCUACUAUGCAGUUUUAGAAUUUGUGCAUUGAUCGAUCCUCCAUCUUCUUUUGACAUGCAUGGUCGACGUUUCAAUCAAUGAAUCGAGAGAGAAAAAAGAAAUGGCUGGCAGAGCCGUCUUAGAGAUUUUGAAGGCCCUGUGCAAAAUUUCAAAAGAGGCCCUGCUCAUAUAAAAAUUGAAGAUGAACAAACUCAAAACAUAAAAUCAAAGUUGGAUCAUUUAUCAAAUAAUAAUACCUCAUUAGUUGAACCUACAAAAGAGGCUAUAUAUUCAAUACAAAAACAAAAGUUUGAGGCAAAAAAUUAUGACAAACAUAUAUAUGCAUGAUCUAAAAGCAACACUGUUGCUGGGUGUUCACUUGAAUAUCAUUCUCCUUGCCUUCUUGGCUGCAAACUCAUCAAUUAGCUUAUCACAAUUGAUUUUUCCAAGAAAAUCAUUCUCAAUAGAAAUCAUAGAAAACCUGUUAGACCAGUGCUCCUUCUCCAAUUUUCAUAAAUUCCAGAAUGGCAGAAUCCAACAACUUUGCCACACGAUCAACCUUUGCAAAUUGAAAACAAAAUCAAACCAUUCAGAAGAUUAAAACAAAUAUCAAUUAAAUUGUACAUUUGUACAUAACAAUUAACAAAUCAAUUAUGAAGAAUCAUACCUGUGUGGGGCUGUGGGCGUGUCCACACUGUGGCUGAUGAGUGAGAUAAAAAUUGAGAGAGAGAGUUAGGUUAGUAGAGAAAGAGACAGAUCGCAAAAAGCCAAAGAAGAAGAUUUGGUUUGGGAGUUUUUGGUCGAUAGGGCCUCUUCUCAAUUAUAUGGGCCUUUUUUUCUAAUGGGUCUUUUUAUAUUAAGUAUAGUUCUUAAUUUUUAUAUAUAAUUAAAAAAUUAUGAAUAUGUGUAUUUUUGUGGCCCUCCUAAUUUUGGGGCCCUGUAUCUGUGCACACUUUGCACCUGUUAUAAGCCGGCUCUGAUGGCUGGUUCUCGAUUUCUUGUUUUACAUUUAUUUUUCUUUGAUUUUAUUUUGGUAUGAAGCUAUUGGUGGCCGGGACUAAUUUCAGUUAGUCUUUGUAGUUCCAAAUCCUUCUGUAAUCUAAUUAUCCUUACAAUCCUAAUCUCAAGAGAUCGAGUCGUUGGUUCUCCUCUGAUUUUAACAUCCGAUCCCGGCGGUUUAAUAUAUAUAUAGCAGCUGCAUGUACUUUAAUUUGUCAUGCGUCAAUGCAAAACUGAGACUUUCAGAACAGUUUCACGUCCGGUACUGUGCAUAAAGGGUGGUUCUGAACUUGUGCUGCAACAUGCACCAUGCACCCUCCCAUCCUCAUUAUAUAAUCACCAGAUCGAACAUUUUUAUAUAAACUUGACGAUCGAUAUUGUGAGAGACGCGUAUGCAGCGCAAUGUCCUAUACGUACGUGUACUAUAUACGACAAAAUUUCGAAGAAGAAGACACAACUGUAUUUAGAUACAGUUGCCCAGCGAUUGGAUCUUGAUGGAGCUUGGCCCUUGUUAUCAUUUUCUCUGGGUUCUGCUCACCUCCAAUACUCGCAGUUUGUUUGUUUGUGAUUUUAUAAGGCUAGCAGUUUACCACUGUCUACUGUUUCAACAUCUCCAGCUUAAUUUGCUUAUAAAUUGAGAGCAUGUACAACUUUUCUGUACAUUGUAACUAGUUGAAGUAUAUAUCUCAACAUUUGUUGAUAUCUUGGAGUUUGUAAUAUAGCAGAGGAAAGCAAUACAAGUAUGGAUGAAAAUGAAGCACCACCAUCAGAAAGCAAAGCACAAAAAGCAAGCAGAAGCUGCAGCAUCACUGAAAUACAGGAAGACUCGAAAGAGAAGACCAAAGGAAAUGAAACUGUUCCAUUUCACAAGCUGUUUUCAUUUGCAGAUUCAACUGAUAUCUUGUUGAUGACCAUAGGAUCAGUUGGUGCCAUUGGAAAUGGGUUGUGUAUGCCCAUUAUGACUAUACUCUUUGGCCAAUUGACUGAUUCUUUUGGAUGUAGCUACAAUAGCAAAGACAUAGUUCAUGCUGUUUCCAAGGUACCUGACUUGUAUAUUUAUUUCGCAAUCUUAAAAAAAAAGUGUUCUUUGAAGAUUUAUUCAUUAUUUUUUGGUAUGAUUUUAGGUCUCUCUAAGAUACAUCUACUUGGCUUUGGGGGCUGGGGUUGCAGCAUUCCUUCGUAAGUAAACAACGUACUUAAGAUUACCAAAGAGUAAAGACCAUGUAAGCAACACAUUAAACUUACUGAUGUGUCAUGUGUGUUUGUCUGUCAGAGGUAGCUUGCUGGAUAGCCACAGGGGAGCGACAGGCCGCACGAAUAAGGAGUUUGUACCUGAAAACCAUAUUAAGGCAAGAAGUAGCUUUCUUCGAUAUGGAAACAAACACUGGGGAGGUUGUUGGGAGGAUGUCUGGUGAUACUGUCUUGAUACAAGAUGCAAUGGGUGAAAAGGUACUGAACUACUGCAGAAAAAUUGGAGUACUUGUCAUCUUGGUUCACAUAAUGCUGGAUUCUAAAAGGUUAGCUUAUGCAGGUUGGAAAGUUUAUACAACUCAUAUCGACAUUCAUUGGAGGCAUUGUGAUAGCAUUCAUUAGAGGGUGGCUUCUAACACUCGUCUUGAUGUCCACUAUUCCACUUCUUGUGGCAGCCGGAGCAGUAAUGUCCAUUAUCAUAGUCAAAAUGUCUUCCAGAGGACAAAAUGCCUAUGCGAAAGCUGCGACUUUAGUUGAACAAACAAUCAGCUCAAUCAGAACUGUAUGUCAUGCUGAAAUCAUAAGUUUGAUACAUGUUUGUGAAAUAGUGGAAGCAUAUAACACCUCUUAACUUUGUCCCGCUCAGGUUGCUUCAUUUACCGGAGAGACACAAGCUAUAACCAACUAUAAGAGAUAUCUUGUAGAUGCUUACAAGUCUGGUGUUCAUGAAGGCUUGGCAGCCGGUUUAGGUUUUGGCAUGUUUAUGUUGGUUAUGUUAUCCAGUUAUGGUCUGGCUACAUGGUUUGGUGCAAAAAUGGUAUUGGAAAGAGGAUAUAGAGGGGGUGCUGUGGUCAAUGUGAUUGUCGCUGUGAUGGCUGGUUCCAUGUAAGCUUUCAUUUUGGCUUUUCAUUAAAUCUUAAGCUGAUUUUGUUCCAAGUGCUUGUAUAAUGAACAAAUUUUUACGGAUGUUGUAUGAUCGUCUCAGGUCUCUAGGCCAGGCAUCUCCCUUUGUGAGUGCAUUUGCUGCUGCUGCAGCCUUCGAUAAGCAUAUCAAAACUGACACUUUGAUAAGCAUCAAGGAUGGUUCUAUGCAUCCUUAGUUGCCUUGCACAAUACAUACCAGGACUAGUUGUCGCAGAAUAAAUACUGUAUUUCAUAGUAUGUGUUGAAUAAAAUUUUCCUUAACCUUCUCAAUACAACUUUACAAGAUAUAUAGCAGCAUCUAUGCUACUGUUACAAGUAAGAGUUAAAUGUAAUUGCAGCAAAUCAGCAAUAGGUAUUUACAACCAAGAUACAACAUAUCAAAACUGAUCCUAAAUUAUGGCAAUGCAUUAAUCUCUCUAACAACCCCUCCCCUCUCAAACUUGGCGGGCCUGCACGAAUAAGUUUGCUAGUAAGAAGCACAUGACGGUGCUUAUGGAGGGGUUCAGUGAGAAUAUCUGCCGGCUGAUCAAUUGAUGGGACAAAGUACGAUGGCUACCAAAUGCUACUUUCUCGCAAACAAAGUGGUAAUCAAGCUCAAUGUGUUUUGUGCGAGUAGGGAAGACAUAAUUGGAGGCCAUGUAUGUAGCAUUAAGAUUGUCACAAUACAGCAAGAUGAGAAAUUCAAUGUGUGCACCAAGUUCAUUGAGUAAGAAUGCUAACCAAGUUGUCUCAGCACUGGCAUGAGAGAGGGAGCGGUACUCAAACUCGGCGCUAGAACGGGCAAUGGUAGGUUGCUUUCUAAAACACCAAGAGACCAAGUUGGUGCCAAGAUAGACCAAGUAGCCAGAAGUUGGGCGACAAGAAUCAGGACAUCCUGCCCAAUCAGCAUCAUCAUAGGCAGAAACCCUCUCGGUUUCUGCAUACUGGAAAUCUGAGAGGGAUUGUUUUCUUCUUUUAAGAAGAGAGUGGCGGCGGAGGAGGAGGAAUGGCAAAAAAAAAAAUGCAUUUAGUCAAAGGCAAACCAACUUAAUUUGGAUAUCAACGCGUUAUUCCAUGGAACACAAUUAUCCAUCCCCUGUAGUACAGCUCCUUGACUAGGCGGGUCAUUUUAUUUUUCAUCCAAUGUUUGAAUGUAGUAUCAUAAUGUCAAAAAGAAAAGAAAACGGUCCUCAUUACAGCUUUAUCUAAUGGAUGAAAUUAUCUAAAAAGAUCUGAAGUUUCUUCAAGCUUUCUUCUGUUUGGUUGGAGGGGGAAAGAGAGCUCGAAAGACCCAAGAAGCCAAUAUUGCUCCUAUGAAAGGGCAAAUCCAAUAAACAUAGAACUGCUCCCAUGUGUUGUGUCGAUUGUCUACAUAUGCCCAACCAAAUGCCUGCAUUGAUCAUAUCACUAUGUAAAGGAAAACGCUCUACAGUAAGUAGACUAUUUCACAAGUAGAAGUAUAAAACAGACAAUUCCAUAUUAUUUUAUGAAAAAAAAAAAAAAACAAAUACAUACAAAGAAAGCGGAAGCAUAUCCAGGAAAAUAAGAAAAAUAACAUGAGCAAAAGAGAAUAUUGAAUACAAUUCAAUUCCAGCAAAAAGCUCAAGUGUUUUUAGCCCCUAAGAGUCGAACCAAUUUCUCCUUAUUCAUCAUUCCACCAUAAAUUGAGUCCUACAGAGGGAUCACAUUCUAUUACUAUUCAAUCAUGCAUAAUACACAAGAUAAAAACACACAUACAGGGCCAUUCCAUAAAUAUCAUUUUUAUGAGAUUUUCAUCGUAUCAAGACAUCAUGUUUAAGUCUCUAUGAGUAUAUCACUUCUGCAAAUACUGAAUUGGAUAUUUUUCUUUUUUUUUUAAAUUUCAUUGUCGUGUUUCAAAAUUUUUGAACGUGAUGAUUCUGAUUUAAUCUAGUUAGUACCGUAACAGUUCCAAAAAAGUUUGUUUGCAUGUAUUUCUCCUCCCCAAACCUAGGUUGUCUCUUUCUCUUCUAAGUUCUCACUGUCCCAAUUGGUGCUAAAUAUUAGGUCAAAAGAAAAUGUCCAGUCUUCCUACUAGAGAAUAACCAAAACAAUACACAAGUUUAUGCAUGUAUCAAAAAUGAGGGAAGCUCGACUAGCUUUGUGCUUCCCAAAUCUGAACUAAUCAAGUUUGUAGGCACAAGUAUUCUUCUAAAGAAAAAUAGCCAACAUCUAAUGAAAUCGCAAAGACACAUACAUAAAUGUGUUUUUCUCUGGAUGUAAGAAACAUUUUAUCCCAUGGAAAAAAUAAAAAAAAUUCAAGGGUUGCCAAUGGUAUUGGGAUGUAUAUCAUACUCUAAUUUUCAAUUAAAUGAACAAAAAUUACAAUAUAAUUGAACCAAAUUUACAACAUUGACAACAAAAUUACCACAUUUGUUUUACACGUUUACAUAUAAUUGAACCAAGUUACUAUAUAAGCAACAAUUUCAUCACAAACUUUUAAAAAUAUCAGACGUUGAGUAAUUACCCAUAAUAGAACUAUGAUUACCUAAAUUAUGACUCAACUUUACCGAAUUGGCAAUAAAUUUGUAGUCAUAUAAGUAAAUGUGGGUAUAACAUACAUGUAGCUAACUAAGAACAUUCCUACCUUUAAACUCAUCAGUUAAAAUAUUAACAGGAAAAAAACAACCUCAGACUUGGAAUAACUCAACCAAAUCAGACGUCGGGAUAUUUCACAACAGAAAAGAGUAACAAUUUAACUGAAGAAUUUUUUUUUAUUUCAGUACAAACACAUUAGUGACCAGAAAGAAAAAGUUUUAAGUUAGGGAAAAGUACCGCAUUACAGUAGACUCUGAGUAUUAUUAUUCUCCAUCACUAUUUAAAAUGUAGAAGUGACAAAAAAACAACAAAAUGCAGGGAUACUUUGAGGAGAAAUGAAUUGUCAGUGGAAGCAGAGCAGGGUCUAUAUCUUCUAUCUUAUUUUCCUACCAUCAUAUCUAAUAUUGGCUUAGCAUAAUUGUGUUCAUAACCCUGUUUUAAAGUCCAGAACGUAUCUUUUUCACCUUGUCCAGAUCUCCCAUAAAUCAUAUAUCGAAAACUAUCACACAAGCAGACUAACAAGCAAAAUAGCGAUGUCAAACAGAAAACAAAGAUAUUCCCAGAUUUGACACAAAAGUAGCCAAACCCAGUCUGUAUCAUGAUUCAAGUACUAUCAAUAGACAAAGGUCAUUUUAAUAAAGAAAAGAAGAAGGAAAUCGUUUGCUUACAUUAGCAGGAUUCAUUGAAGGCCCAGUAUAGACGGAACCAGCAACAACCAAUGCCACAGUAACCACUGCAAGAAGCAAUGAUUUCAAGAGUGAGCUACGGGGACCCUUGAGGAUGAUGACAAGGACAAGGAAGGUGAUAAGGAAAGUCAAGAGCCCCUCGGCAAUGGCCCCGGUGUGCAAGUCAACUUUCAAGGAAGGGCCUCCAAUCAUGUGGUUGUACUGAGCGGGAACGACCUCCUUAAUAGCCAGAGCGCCACCCACAGCACCCAAAGUCUGUUUGGAUCAUAAACAUGAUGAAAUGUCAAAGGAGAUUGAUAAGGAAGGAAGGAAGGAAAAAGGAAGGGGCACCUGAGCCGGAAAGCGGAGGGCCAUGGAGAAGAGGGUAUCGGCACCAACGCCGGCGGCGUAGAAAGAGGCAGUGCCGGUGGGGUUGAAGCUGGCCCCACCCAAGGCGUCACCGAUCAUGUUGAAGACCAAGACGAGGAAGAAGACGAGGGCAGUGGUGAUGCCGAAAGAAGCCCAGAAGCCUUGAACCCCGAUUACAUUUGCGAUCAGACUUGUCAUCAGUCCCAGCGUCGACGCGCAGAAGACCCACAUAAACGUCACCACCGCAUCUCCCACAGCAGCCUUCAUCGCGCCCAUCUCCCUCUCUCGAAUUCUCACUUGUCCUGAAAAUUCAAGAUUCAAGAUUCAAGAUUCAAGAUCACAAAGCACCCACCUUUAAUCUAAUCCCUUCAUGGUGGGCCAUCUGUCCAUUUACAAGUGUUCUUUAAUACAUCCAAUAGUGAAAGGUAAAUAGUAAUAUUUAUUUUAUACCACAGGGGGUAAAGUUCUUUUUACCUUCCGGUCGGACGACGAAACCGGUCCAGAUCUCGUGCUCUCCUCCUCAUGACCGUGCUUCACCUCGGUUCGAGCCCACGGCGGCAAAUCCAAGCGGCGAGUGCGGCGGCUCUCCUGGUUUUCCAGUUUCCGCUGAGAUUCGGCAAACCCAAACCGUCGAACUCAAGGCUGGGCUGCGGAGGCAAGAGGUCGUCGGAGCGCGCAGCGAAGCCGUUCUGGCGGCGGCGCUAGGAAGCUGGGCUGGCUUCGGGCUGCAUCGGUGGUGUAUGGUGCCGAUCUGGGUGCUGGCCUGUUGUUGUUGGAGGCGGCAGCAUGCAGUGGCACGCCGGGAGCCUGGGGCCAAUACGACAGCAAAUAUGAAAUCGGAAUUGGUCCUUAUUUCUUUAAACCCUCUUUAUACGGUGGAUUACAACGGUAAUUACACGCACAUAAGUUAUUUAAUGUUAAUAACAACAUACCUAAUGAAUUACAUAACUAAUUGAGUCGUUACGUCUAUUAAUUAAAAAUUUUUUAAUUUAUUUUUCAUCAAUUACUUUGACGAAGACACAUUUAAGGUAUUUUUUCCUCUUUGACAUGAGAAUAAUAUUAAGAGAGAAUACUAAUAAGAAUAUACAUAAUAAAUUACAUAACUAAUUAAAUCGUUAUAUUUAUUGAUUAAAAUUUUCUUAAUUUAUUUUUCAUCAAUUACUUUGAAUACACUUAAAAAAGUAUUUUUCCUCCUCAACGUGAGAGAAAGGUAGAUGUAAAUAUAGGAUCAGUGUGUCCCUCAAAAUCAAGACUCAAACCGACACCUCCUAGAUUAAACAAUCUGUUAUUAUCAUGAUGGUGAUAGGUGAGUGCGCAAGUGACGAAUCACGUCGUCGGUUGCAGCAUGAGAGGAUGAGAUUAUAAACAAGUAAACAGAUUUUUUUUUGUUUUUGGGAGAUUUUGUAUGAGAUAUUUUGUGACUAUGGGGUCUGCAUUAUUCACAACCCUCUAUAAUUCGUGUUCCCCCACGAACAUAUUCCACGUGUUAGAGAGAGUUGCUGCCUCCGGCCUCUUUCCCAUUUUGUUUCACGUUGUGGGAUGUUGCUUUGAUAAAUACUCGUCGUGUUUUCAGCAACAUAUUUCUGUGUGUUCCCGGAAAACGCGCCAAACAGGAACACAGGAGGAGGAGGAGGAGGACAAUCUAAGAGAUACAGAAAUCAUACAAAGAAUUAAAGCUCUGUUCUUUGUUUCUGGGUUCCUCUGUAUUUUCAUGGAACAUGAAGUCACCUUUUAAUCAUGUAAGUCUAUUUUCUUUCUUCUUUGUCUUUCUUCCAUGUUACAAAGUAUGCAAUUUAUGAGUGGAAAGUGAAAGCUUUCCAUGACAAAGAGAGACUUGGAAUUAUUCUUUGCUUCUUUGUGUAGUCUGGUUAUUAGACAUUGCAUUCCUAGUUGGAAGCUUCUAACACAAUCCAGAAUCCUUGUUGUUUUGCUAUUGUGGUGGAAAUGGCUUUUUGUUACUUGAGAUUGUAGCCUGCUUUUUUUGGGGUGAAGUUGCAUUUGUUACACAAACUUAAUUGAGUAAAUAAAUGAGUUUUUGGUGUUGUCAGAUAUCUCUGGGUGCAGGGCCAGGAAAUGGGAGAUCAUACUUCAUUAGGUUUCUCCCUUCAGCUUCUUUGAUAUUCUUAGCUCUUCUGCUGGGUAGCGCAUUCAUAUUAUCAGAAUUCAAUGAGGUAGACAUGUAUACAAUUCAUAUGUUCUUUGUGUUGGGGGUUAGAGAUUUUUUAACUCUAGUAUCUAAGCUUAAAUUUCAUCAAUUUUUACCAUCUCUUUGUCUAAUAUGGUUUUUUUAUUAAUUCAAUAUACUGUUGCACAGAAAUCAUCAUUUGGGAGAGUCAGAAAUAGUUUGCGUAGUUCCAAAUUAAAAUGCAAGGUUUGUUCUCGAUACGCAUGCCUUUUGCUUUGUAUAAUGUUUUCCAAGAAAACAAUCCACUGCUGUGAUAGACUGAUAGUCUGGGUUCACUACCUAUCAUUGUUUUUCUGUUUCAGAAUCAUAGAAGGCCAUAUGGAAGUGAAACAUUGCCUAGAGGUAUCGUCGCCAAGACUUCUAAUCUGGAAAUGCGGCCAUUAUGGACAUCGCCUAACAAGGUAAGGUUUCCAAUCAAUGUCUGCAUUUGUUUUUGUUAACUGAGAAUCAUAGUUAUU
Molecule: long non-coding RNA, 14566 nt
Filed under: Fragaria vesca (wild strawberry)
Lineage: Eukaryota; Viridiplantae; Streptophyta; Magnoliopsida; Rosales; Rosaceae
Description: long non-coding RNA (FVES_LNC002753)
Source: RNAcentral